GGCACUUUGGCGGAGUGGUUAACGCGAUGCCCUGCUAUUGCCAAGAUAGCCGGUAGGCAUUCCCUUCGGGGGCGUGUGUUCGAAUCACACAGGUGUCG
Hypoxylon fragiforme is the source of this 98-nucleotide non-coding RNA. The record is from the annotation of a RefSeq genome assembly. Lineage: Eukaryota; Fungi; Ascomycota; Sordariomycetes; Xylariales; Hypoxylaceae.